Molecule: ribosomal RNA, 253 nt
Filed under: uncultured bacterium
Lineage: Bacteria
Description: partial 16S ribosomal RNA
Rfam family: Bacterial small subunit ribosomal RNA
Source: RNAcentral
UACGUAGGGUGCGAGCGUUAAUCGGAAUUACUGGGCGUAAAGCGUGCGCAGGCGGUUCGUUAAGUUCGUUGUGAAAGCCCCGGGCUCAACCUGGGAACUGCAAUGGAAACUGGCGGGCUUGAGUGUGGCAGAGGGGGGUGGAAUUCCGCGUGUAGCAGUGAAAUGCGUAGAGAUGUGGAGGAAUACCGAUGGCGAAGGCAGCCCCCUGGGUCGACACUGACGCUCAUGCACGAAAGCGUGGGGAGCAAACAGG